AUUUGUCUGGUUAAUUCCGAUAACGAACGAGACCUUAACCUGCUAACUAGAUUCUUCUAUACUAUAGAUGAUAUCUUCUUAGAGGGACUAUGUAAUACAAAUACAUGGAAGUUUGAGGCAAUAACAGGUCAGUGAUGCCCUUAUAUGUCCUGGGCUGCACGCGUGCUACACUGAUGCAUACAACAAGUGCCUAACCAGACAUGGUAUGGCAAUCUCGAAUAUGCAUCGUGAUGGGGAUAGAUCUUUGCAAUUAUAGAUCUUGAACGAGGAAUUCCUAGUAAGUGCAAGUCAUCAUCUUGCAUUGAUUAUGUCCCUGCCCUUUGUACACACCGCCCGUCGCUCCUACCGAUACCGGGUGAUCCGGUGAACCUUUUGGACUCAUUUGGGAAAGAUAAGUAAACCAUAUCACCUAGAGGAAGGAGAAGUCGUAACAAGGGUUCCGUAGGUGAACCUGCRGAAGGAUCA
RNAcentral lists this ribosomal RNA (465 nucleotides) under uncultured ciliate. RNAcentral describes it as "SSU rRNA". It matches the Rfam family "Eukaryotic small subunit ribosomal RNA". The record is from RNAcentral. Lineage: Eukaryota; Ciliophora.